This 229-nucleotide ribosomal RNA is filed under the name uncultured bacterium. RNAcentral describes it as "partial 16S ribosomal RNA". It matches the Rfam family "Bacterial small subunit ribosomal RNA", at positions 568 to 796 of the family's 1533-position model. The record is from RNAcentral.
UGCGUAGGCGGAUUAAUAAGUCAGUGGUGAAAACCUCCAGCUUAACUGGAGACUUGCCAUUGAUACUGUUAGUCUUGAGUACGGUCAAGGUAGGCGGAAUGUGUAAUGUAGCGGUGAAAUGCUUAGAUAUUACACAGAACACCGAUUGCGAAGGCAGCUUACUGGGCCAUUACUGACGCUGAGGCACGAAAGCGUGGGGAGCGAACAGGAUUAGAUACCCUGGUAGUCC